This is a non-coding RNA of Microcebus murinus (gray mouse lemur), 857 nucleotides long. NCBI's taxonomy places the organism in Eukaryota, Metazoa, Chordata, Mammalia, Primates, Cheirogaleidae. The record is from RefSeq and is a predicted model, not a curated record.
UCGAACGCGGGGAUUUUCCCGACGCCGGGGGCGGAUGGCCACUGGGAAUUGUAAGGCGUCCACUGUUGGCCGGCAACAGGCGGUGGGAAAUUACACGAAUUUUGCAAUCUGAUAAGGCGAUUCCCGCUAUUAAUGUGGUUAACACGAUGCCGAUGAACACUUCGAUGGUUGGUGCUGGAAGCGCGUGUGUAAACAGUCCCAGAUUCUCUCUCUUUCGUGUACUACCUUGGAAAACCCGGAGGGUGGCUGCUUGUCUGAAUUCAGCAUCAGCCUUCAGGCUGGGAAUCAAUUCUAGCAUACUUCGAUUUACCUGCUUUCGGCACGAAUUCAAUUCUGGUUCUUUUGAAACUGACUGUUUAGGGUAUUUAAAUUAAAGCAACCGAAACUGAAUAUCCCCAGCUGACGCGUUUUCGCCACCUUUGGGCGCGUCGCCUGAAACCUCCCCUGUCCCUUCAGCCAUCACCUGCCUGGUGACGGUGGCAGUGAAGGAGUUAAAGCUUCAAUUCAAGGCAAUUCUACUGCGACCUCCAAAAGAAAGAUAAUAUCUAGAUUAAUGAAACCCUGUUUCAGAUUUGGGGAUACAGAGGAAACCAAGGCAGAGCCCCUGUUCUCCUGGACCUCAUUUCCAGUGUGUGUUUAACCAAGAUCUAGAAAGAAGACUUCCUGAGUCAGCUUUCCUGCUCCCACACUUAUUACCACAAGAGCCUGUGGCAAAGAACUAGACGUUUAGCCUGGCAAAUUUGCUGAUUCCAGACCUGAUAUGAGCCUUAUUCCCAUGGUAGUUGGAUUCCCAUCAGCAUGACAGAGUUGGGCAAGAGAAAUACAAUAAUCAUUUGAGAUCCCAUUCAGCCUCAUGG